AGUCAUGUCGGCCAGGUGCUCCCCAGGCUAGCACUGCCCCGCCCCUGCGUGAUCCGGGAUGGGAGUUUGGAAACUGCUCCCCAUAGGCGGCCGGAGAGGAACGUGAAUCUUUGUCUGUUUCACUCCUCAGCAGCUCACUCUUGGCCCCAGGAGGAAAACGAGAAGGUUAACCAGGCAUAACCCGGAGGUGUAAGUCAGAGAGACAGGGUCUCACUGCAUGCCUGUAGUGCCAGCUACUCAGGAGACUGAGGUGGGAGGAUCUCUUGAGCCCAGGAGGUCGAGGUGGCAGUGGCCCAUGAUUGCAUCACUGUACUCAGUCUGUCUGCACUACCAUUGUGAGCUGUUAACACUCACUGUGAAGGUCUGCAAAGGUCUGCGGCUUCACUCCUGAAGUCAGCAAGACCACAAACCCACCAGAAAGAAGAAAUUCCAGACACAUCUGAACAUCUGAAGGAACAAACUCCGGACACACCAUCUUUAAGAACUGUAACACUCACCACGAGGGUCUGUGGCUUCAUUCUUGAAGUCAGCGAGACCGAGAACCCAUGGGAAGGAACCAAUUCUGGACGCACUGGGUUCACGCCAUUCUCCUGCCUCAGCCUCCAAAGUAGCUGGGACUACAGGUGCCCGCCCACCAUGCCCGGGUAAUUUUUUGUAUUUUUAGUACAGACGGGGUUUCACCGUGUUAGCCAGGAUGGUCUCGAUCUCCUGACCUCGUGAUCCACCCGCCUUGGCUUCCCAAAGUGCUGGGAUUACAGGUGUGAGCCACCGCGCCUGGCCUUUUUUUAAGUCUUAAUAUGGGAUUUCCAUAAAACUUAAUCCGUACUCCACAAUGCAACUUUUUAUAAUCAAUAAAAUUGGCAGGUUUGUUUGCUUCCUAACAAUUUAGAAGGACUUUCAGAAAAUUUGGCUGGUCAAAACCUAUUUUUACAUCUAGCCAAAUGGUUAUCUCUAGAUGAAGGGAUUUGGGUUCAUUUAUAUUUUCUUUUUCUUUUUCUUUUUUUUUUUUGAGAUGGAGUCUUGCUCUGUCACCCAGUCUGGAGUGCAGUGGCGCGAUCUCGGCUCACUGCAGGCUCUGCCUCCUGGGUUCACGCCAUUCUCCUGUCUCAGCCUCCCCAGCAGCUGGGACAACAGGCGCACGCCGCCACGCCCGGCUAAUUUUGUUGUUGUUGUUGUUGUUGUAUUUUUAGUAGAGACGGGGUUUCACCGUGUUAGCCAGGAUGGUCUCAACCUCCUGACCUCGUGAUCUGCCCGCCUCCACCUCCCAAAGUGCUGGGAUUACAGGCGUGAGCCACCAUGCCUGGCCAUUUAUAUUUUCUUUUUUCUUUGCGUUUAAUUCAGCAAUGCACCAGAAGGACUGACGAGACUCACUGGUUGGCCAGGCGUGGUGACUCAUAUCUGAAAUCCCAGUACUUCAGGAAGCCAAGGAGGGUGGAUUCUUUGAGCCCAGAAAUUCGAGACCAGGCUGGGCAACAUGGCAAAACCCUGUCUCUACAAAAAAUUAGGUGUGGUGCCACACACCUGUGGUCCCAGCUACUCGGGAGGCUGAGGUAAUAGGCUCACUAGAACCUGGGAGGUUAAGGCUGCAGUGAGCCAAGAUCCUGCCACUGUACUCCAGCCUGAGUGGCAGAGCAAGACCCUAUCUCAAAAAUAAAUUUUAAAAAAGAACCAAUGGCAGGUUAUAUACUUACUACUAAGAUUUAUUAUAGCAAAGUAUACAUAGCAAAAGCAGCAGGAAAAAGACAUGCAUCAGCAGGGUCCAGAGAGGUUCAACACAGGUUUCCAAUGUCUUUCGUUGUCUGAGGCCACACAGGAGUACUCGCUGUCUCGAGCAGUUAACUACAGGGACAUGUGUGGAAUGUCUUUGCCCAUGAAAGCCUGUCUGAAUCUCAGAGUCCAAGGCUUUUAUGAGGAGCUGGUAAUGUAAGUAUAUCCUGCUAUGCAAUUAGCCAUGGCAAGCAAAACUCAGGACCCUAACAAUGAAACCUCAAUCUUGGUGUUUAUGGAAAGCAACCUGACAAACCAGUAUGGCAUGGUUCGUUGCUCCAGUUGUAUAUAACAAAAUCACCAAUCAAUAACACAAAGAACUCUCUAAGGACUAUAUUCCCAGUGAUUGGCCAAGGGCUAAUCAUGGUUCCCUUGGAGACCUGCAAGGUUAUGCAACCUGACCUACUGUGUUAACUCUUUCCUCAGUCUGUAUUUUCUAAAAUGUCUAUAAUUAACAUAUAUUACUUUUAUAAUCAGAAAAGUAACUAUUAACAUAAAGGCAUCCAAACAUAAUGAUUUUCUUUUUAGUUAUUUAAUGAUGCUGCUUUGUAAGCUCAGUACAUUUUCUUGUAGUCAGCAGAGCUGCUAAGAGUAUAGUCACCCUACUAGACAUUUCAUAGAUGCCCAUCAGAGCCUUUAUAUGCUUUGGGAAAAACCAUAAAAACAGGCAUGAAAGAGCAUAUGAAACCUAGGAGGAACCACAGCAACAUCUAGUUCCACUUCCCCAUCUUAGAGAUGAGGAAAUGGGAAUUCUGAACAGUGAAAGGACUCUCCCCAGGUUCUAAACCUUAGGGUUUUCAAUUAAAAACCUGUCUUGGAAUUGCUGAAAUGUUUGCUCAGUUGCUUCUGAAUGUCUUUACCAUGGAAAAAGCUGGAGCCCUGAAUGAUGAGCUCACCUGGACCAAGCACACAUAGUUUGUCCUCCUUCAGUCUGGAUAGUGACUUCCCUUCCUCCCACUGCCCCAGUGGCCUGACAGGAUCCCAUGUCAAGAGCAUUGCCAAUGCUAUUGGGUCAAUGUUCCAGCUUGGAACCUAACAAGAGGAUAGGUUCAUCUUCACUAAAUUUUCCUUUUCUUUCACCUUCAUUUACUCUCUUGUAAGUUGCAGGGAGGUGCAAAUUCCUUUUAGGUCUCCCAGAACCAGGUCUUAACAGUGGUUAUGACUUCAGGUAGUAAAGUCAAAUGGUCCAGGAUUUGAAUUCUGUUUUUGCAUCUACUUGUAUGAUUUGGCUUAUGUGAUUUGAGUGAGUUACUUGGGGAAGUUAAUAAAAAUAGUAGUACCUUCCUCCUAAGGUUACUGGGAAGAGAAAAGGAAUGUCUUUCAUGUAAUAACUCUCAACUAGCAUAGGGCUUGGCAUAUAGUAAAUGUUCAAAAAUAUUAGCUGUUAUUUUUUAAAUAGAUGCUCCGUUUAUUUUGGAAAAUUCUAUUCUCUGAUUUUUAAGACCAUUUUAUUGAAGUAAUUGACAUGCAGUAUAAACUGAACACGUUUAAAGUAUAGAAUAUCAUGUUUUGACAUGUAUACACCCAUGAAACUAUCACCAUAAUCAAGUUAAUGAACAUAUCCAUAACCCCUAAAAGCUUUCUUUUUUUUUUGAGAUGGGGUCUCGCUCUGUCACCCAGGUUGGAGUGCAGUGGUACGAUCUUGAUGCACUGCAACCUCCACCUGCUGGAUUCAAGUGAUUCUCCUGCCUCAGCCUCCCAAGUAGCUGGGAUUACAGGUGCCUGCCACCAUGCCCGGCUAAUUUUUUUUUUUUUUUUUUUUGAGACGGAGUCUCGCUCUGUUGCCCAGGCUGGAGUGCAGUGGCCUGAUCUUGGCUCACUGCAAGCUCUGCCUCCCAGGUUCAUGCCAUUCUCCUGCCUCAGCCUCCCGAGUAGCUGGGACUACAGGCACCUGCCACCAUGCCUGGCUAAUUUUUUGUAUUUUCAGUAGAGACAGGGUUUCACUGUGUUAGCCGGGAUGGUCUCAAUCUCCUGACCUCGUGAUCUGCCCGCCUCGGUCUCCCAAAAUGCUGGGAUAACAGGCGUGAGCCACUGUACCCGGCCCUAAUUUUGUAUUUUUAGUAGAGAUGGCAUUUCGCUAUGUUGGUUAGGCUGGUCUUGAACUCCUGACCUCAGGCGAUCCACCCACCUCGACCUCCCAAAGUGCUGGGAUUACAGAUGUGAGCCACCGUGCCUGGCCAAAGUUUUCUUAUACCUGUUUAUAAUCCCCUUCUUUGUCCUCAGGUAACACUAUCUACUACCUGUCUCUACAGAUUAGCUUGCAUUUCCUAGAAUCUUACUUAUAUAAUUGAAAUAAUAUAGUAUAUACCCUUCUUUUGGCUUUCUUUAUUCAGCUAUGUUGUGAGAUUCAUUCAUGUUGUUUAGAGUAUCAGUUACUAAGUAGUAUUCCAUUUUUGGCUAUAUCAAAAUUUGUUUGCCCAUUUACCUAUUAAUGGACAUUUUGCACUGUUUCCAGUUUGGAGAUAUUAGAUAUAAAACUUCUAUAAACAUUUAUAUAUAAGUCUUUGUAUGGAUAUACACAAAUGAUCUCUGACUUAACAUUGAUUCGACUUACGAUUUUUCAACUUUACAAUGUUGUGAAAGCAAUAUGCAUUCAGUAGAAACUGUCCUUCAAGUACCCAUACAUUCAUUCUGGUUUUUACUUUCAGUACAGUAUUCAAUAAUUUACAUGAGAUAUUCAACAUUUUAUUAUGAAAUAGGCUUUGUAUUAGAUGAUUUUGCCCAAUUGUAGGCUAAUGUAAGUGUUCUAAGCACAUUUAAGGUAGGCAAGACUAAGCUAUGGUGUUUGGUAGGUUAGGUGUAUUAAAUGCAUUUUCAACUUACGAUAUUUUCAAUUUAUGAUGGGUUUAUUGGGAUGUAACCAUAUUGUAAGUCGAAGACCACCUCUACUUAUAUUUCUCCUGGGAGUAGAAUGAGUGGGUCAUUAGGUAGGUAUAUGUUUAACUUUUUAAGAAACUGACAAAUUGUUUUCCAAUUGGUCAUGCCAUUUUACAUUCCCACCAGUAGUGUAGGAGAAUUCCAUUGUCUACAUCCUCACCAACAGUUGGUACAGUCAACGUUUUUAAUUAAAUUAAUUUUAUUUAUUUAUUUAUUCAUUUUUAUUAUUUUAUUUUAUUUUUUUUGAGACAGGAGUCUCACUCUGUCACCCAGGCUGGAGUGCAAUGGUACGAUCAUGGCUUACUGCAGCCUCAACUUCCCAGUCUCAAGUGAUCCUCCCACCUCAGGUUCCCAAGUAGCUGGAACUACAGGCACAUGCCACCACACCAGACUAAGUUUUUCUAUUUUUCAUGGAGACAAGAUCUCACUAUGUUGCCCAGGCUGGUCUCAAAAUUUUGGGCUCAAGUGAUCCUCCCACCUUGGCCUCCCAAAGUGCUGAGACUACAGGCGUGAACUACCACGCCCAGUCCUGUUUUUAAUUGUAUGCAUUCUAGUAAGUGUGUAGUGGUAUCUCUUUGUAUCUCUCUCCCCAAGCCCUGGCAGCCACCAACCCACCUCUAUAGAUUUGACUAUUCUGAAUAUUUUAUAUACAUAGAAUCACAGUAUAUGCAGCCUUUUGUGACUGGUUUCUUUCACUUAGCAUAAUGUUUUCAAGGUGCAUCAAGUUAUAGCAUGUAUCAGAAUUUCAUGUCCAUUUAUGGCUGAAUAAUAUUCCAUUGAUGGGAAUACCACAUUUUGUUUAUCCAUCAGUUGAUGGACAUUUAGGUUGUUUCUACUUUUUGGCUGUUAUGGACAAUGCUGCUAUCAACAUUUGUGCACAGGUGUUUGUGUGGACAUAUAUUUUCAUUUUUCUUGGGUGUAUAUCCCUAGGAGUAGAAUUGCUGGUCAUACAGUAACUUUAUGUUUAACCUUAUGAGGAACUUCCAGGCCAGUGGUGAGGUUCAAGCAAGGGAAGGAGGAGGUUCUGGGUCAAUGGUACAUAUUUGCUCUAUUGGAGAGAAGCAAUUGGCCAAAAUUGUAGCUUGUCAUUAGUCUGUUGAACAGCCAUGGAUUUUCAUUACUUGGGCAGAGAACACAUGAAGCCAGGCUAGAUAUCACCAAUGGGUGACCAUAUUAAAGACUUGUGAAUAUUGGUAUUUAAUGUAUCACUAUUUAGUGCCCAGGUCCCCCUUAUGUAUGUUUAUUACCACGUGUACUCUUGGUUCUCCCAGCUUUUUUCAUCUAUGUUUAACCCACACAUUUUCUAGAUGCCAAUUACUGAUUUAUACUUGAUAUCUUAUGAGUUCAUCCCAUUUCUUCUAUAAAAUAAUUGAAUAUUUUGAAACUAUAUAUCAAAUGCAUAUUAAACCCUUCCCCUCUGUAAUUCAUUUCUGCAUGACACCACACUUACUUUGUACACAAUGCUGAAUAAAUGUUAAAUAAAAAAUAAGCAGGGUGGGACCUGUAAUCCCAGCACUUUGGGAGGCCGAGGCAGGAAGAUUGCUUGAGCCCAAGAGUUUGAGACUAGCCUGGGCAACAUGACAAAAACCCAUCUCUACUAAAAAUACAAAAAUUAGCUGGACAUGGUGGCACACACUUGCGGUCCCAGCUACUUGGGAAGCUGAGGUGGGAGGAUCACCCAAGCCCGGGAGGCGGAGGUUACAGUGAGCCGAGAUUGCUCCACUGCACUCCAGCCUAGGCGACAGAGUGAGACUUUGUCUCAAAAAAAAUUAAAAUAAAAAUGAGCAAUAAUCUCUGGUAGUCCUGCCAUAGAAAUAAGCAGUUAUUCAAACAAAAAUUUCCUGUGAUUAAGUACUUGGGAAAUACUGGUUUUUUGUUGUUUUUGUUUUUUUUUACUAUAGGACUUGCUAGCCCCUUAAUGUACUAAUGUGGUGGUACUUCUUCAUGAAUGGAUUUCACAUUCAGUGUCCUCAAACUUACUGAUCCAUGGAACCCUUUACUCAAGGUGCAGCUCUAGAAAUUGGUGUUGUAUAAAAUACACCUUGGGAAAUGUUGCCUUGGGGAUUGCUCUGUGCAAGGCCUUGGAAGUAUAGCUGUUUACUACAGCAGCCAUAGACUGAACAGCUGAACUGAAAUUCCUCCGGGUACCUUUUAUAAAGUAUAAACAUCCCACUUUUCUGGUUUGUUUUUUUGUUUUUUGUUUUUUGCUUUUUUUGGUCUCACUCUGUCACCCAGGCUGGAAUGCAGUGGUGUGAUCUUGGCUCACUGCAACCUCCGCCUCCCAGGUUCAAGCAAUUCUCCUGCCUCAGCCUCCCGAGUUGCUGGGACUACAGGCACACGCCACCAUGCCUGACUAAUUUUUUGUAUUUUAGUAGAGACAGGGUUUCACCAUGUUGCCCAGGCUGAUCUCGAACUCCUGAGCUCAGGCAAUCUGCCCACCUCAGCCUCCCAAAGUGCUAGGAUUACAGGCGUGAGCCACUGCGCCCAGCCUAUUUUUAAAAACAAUAACAAGAAGCAAGAUAGGGAAAUUGAAGUGACUUGGGGUAUGAGCUGACUAAAUUAUGCAAUCAAGGGUUUUUCUAAUUUCUCCUUUUGAGUAAAUACAGGAAUAAUGUCCCAUCCCCUAAACAGCACAGUGCUGAGACUAAUUCUUUGACAAAUAUUAGGCACGUUGAAAGAUAUUAGGUUCAUAAAAAGGAGACUUCAGGCAAGGCGUGGUGGCUCAAGCUUGUAAUCCCAGCACUUUGGGAGGCUGAGGUGGGUGGAUCACCUGAGGUCAGGAGUUCGAGACCAGCCUAGCCAACAUGGUGAAACCCUGUCUCUACUAAAAAUACAAAAAGUAGCCGGAUGUGGAGGCACAUGCCUGUAAUCCCAGCUACUCGGGAGGCUGAGGCAGAAGAAUCACUUGAACUCGGGAGGCGGAGGUUGUAGUGAGCUGAGAUCGCACCAUUGCACUCCAGCCUGGGUGACAAGAGCGAAACUCUGUCUCAAAAAAACAAAAAGAAAAACAAAAAAAAACCCAGAAAGACUUCCUCUUCCACCUGGCUGGAAAAAUAUGCCUAAUAGAACACCAGGAAACCCAAAUCUCCGUGCGAAGCGUCUCCCUCAUAUGGUUAGCCUGGAGAGCCAAGGGAUCCUAAAACUUAAAACUGAGUUUAUUGGAGCUCUCUGUAUUGUAGAUGGGAGAACAGCUAACUUAAUCUAGUAGACAGAAUAUAGGGACAGAAACAGAGCCAAUCAUAGGUCUUCUACCCUAUCAUGCUCCGUUUCACAUCCUCUGGCCCCAACACUAUCAACAUAUAGGCAGGUAUUGCUGCUCCUGACCCAUACCAUCCUGCAUACAGGAUUGUCUCUCCCCCUUGCCCUUUUUGCAGUCUCUUCUUGCACCCUUCCCUAAGCAUAUCUCCAGCCUGAAUCCUGCUCAGCUGUCAAAUUUCAGCUCAAAUGUCAUUUCCUCUGGUGAGCUUUCCUUGACUCCAGAAUACUGUUACACAUUAUUUCCCCAUCGCUCAUUACAAAUGUAAUUUAUAUUAUUUAGUGAUUGUCUCUUCCACUAGCUUGUAAACUACACAAGGGCAGAAACCAUUUAACUUGUUCAGUAUUGAAUUUCCAGGAUGUGGCACAGAGUAAGUAGUAAAAAAAUACCAGUUAGUUGCUCACACCAGUAGCCCUAGCUACUCAGGAGGCUGAGGUGGGAGGGAGUAUCGCUUGAGCCAGGGAGUUUGAGGCUGCAGUGAGCUAUGAUCGAGCCACUGCACUCCAGCCUGGGUGACAGGGCAAGACCUUGUCCCCCAGAAAUAAUAAUAAUAAAAUAAAUAGGCCGGGCACAGUGGCUCACACCUGUAAUCCCAGCA
Molecule: long non-coding RNA, 8498 nt
Filed under: Homo sapiens (human)
Lineage: Eukaryota; Metazoa; Chordata; Mammalia; Primates; Hominidae
Description: non-protein coding lnc-DLGAP5-3:6
Source: RNAcentral